Molecule: transfer RNA, 66 nt
Filed under: Poecilimon luschani
Lineage: Eukaryota; Metazoa; Arthropoda; Insecta; Orthoptera; Tettigoniidae
Description: tRNA-Ile
Source: RNAcentral
UGAAGUGCCUGAUUUAAAAGGAUUACUAUGAUAGAGUAAACCAUGUAAUUUUUAUUACCUUCAUUA